GUCUCGAUAGUAUAAAAAUUACCCUGGUCUUGUAAACCAAAAAUGAAGAACUAAUCUUCUCGAGACACACA
This 71-nucleotide transfer RNA is filed under the name Bandicota bengalensis (lesser bandicoot rat). RNAcentral's name for it is "tRNA-Thr". Lineage: Eukaryota; Metazoa; Chordata; Mammalia; Rodentia; Muridae. The record is from RNAcentral.